AGUGAACGCUGGCGGUAGGCCUAACACAUGCAAGUCGAACGGCAGCACCGUAAGAGCUUGCUCUUACGGGUGGCGAGUGGCGGACGGGUGAGGAAUACAUCGGAAUCUACUUUUUCGUGGGGGAUAACGUAGGGAACCUUACGCUAAUACCGCAUACGACCUACGGGUGAAAGCAGGGGAUCUUCGGACCUUGCGCGAUUGAAUGCGCCGAUGUCGGAUUAGCUAGUUGGCGGGGUAAAGGCCCACCAAGGCGACGAUCCGUAGCUGGUCUGAGAGGAUGAUCAGCCACACUGGAACUGAGACACGGUCCAGACUCCUACGGGAGGCGGCAGUGGGGAAUAUUGGACAAUGGGCGCAAGCCUGAUCCAGCCAUACCGCGUGGGUGAAGAAGGCCUUCGGGUUGUAAAGCCCUUUUGUUGGGAAAGAAAAGCAGCAGGUUAAUACCCCGCUGUUCUGACGGUACCCAAAGAAUAAGCACCGGCUAACUUCGUG
This 492-nucleotide ribosomal RNA is filed under the name uncultured bacterium. Its description in RNAcentral is "partial 16S ribosomal RNA". It matches the Rfam family "Bacterial small subunit ribosomal RNA", at positions 29 to 507 of the family's 1533-position model. The record is from RNAcentral.